CCAGACUCCUACGGGAGGCAGCAGUGGGGAAUAUUGCACAAUGGGGGAAACCCUGAUGCAGCGACGCCGCGUGAAGGACGAAGUAUUUCGGUACGUAAACUUCUAUCAGCAGGGAAGAAAAUGACGGUACCUGACCAAGAAGCCCCGGCUAACUACGUGCCAGCAGCCGCGGUAAUACGUAGGGGGCAAGCGUUAUCCGGAUUUACUGGGUGUAAAGGGAGCGUAGACGGCCGUGCAAGUCUGAUGUGAAAACCCGGGGCUCAACCCCGGGACUGCAUUGGAAACUGCAUGGCUGGAGUGUCGGAGAGGCAAGUGGAAUUCCUAGUGUAGCGGUGAAAUGCGUAGAUAUUAGGAGGAACACCAGUGGCGAAGGCGGCUUGCUGGACGACGACUGACGUUGAGGCUCGAAAGCGUGGGGAGCACACAGGAUUAGAUACCCCCGUA
This 444-nucleotide ribosomal RNA is filed under the name uncultured bacterium. RNAcentral describes it as "bacterial SSU rRNA". It matches the Rfam family "Bacterial small subunit ribosomal RNA", at positions 331 to 792 of the family's 1533-position model. The record is from RNAcentral.